AUUGAACGCUGGCGGCAUGCCUUACACAUGCAAGUCGAACGGCAGCACGGGUGCUUGCACCUGGUGGCGAGUGGCGAACGGGUGAGUAAUACAUCGGAACAUGUCCUGUAGUGGGGGAUAGCCCGGCGAAAGCCGGAUUAAUACCGCAUACGAUCUACGGAUGAAAGCGGGGGGCCUUCGGGCCUCGCGCUGUAGGGUUGGCCGAUGGCGGAUUAGCUAGUUGGUGGGGUAAAGGCCUACCAAGGCGACGAUCAGUAGCUGGUCUGAGAGGAGGACCAGCCACACUGGGACUGAGACACGGCCAAGACUCCUACGGGGGGCAGCAGUGGGGAAUUUUGGACAAUGGGCGGAAGCCUGAUCCAGCAAUGCCGCGUGUGUGAAGAAGGCCUUCGGGUUGUAAAGCACUUUUGCCCGGAAAGAAAUCCUUGGCCCUAAUACGGUCGGGGGAUGACGGUACCGGAAGAAUAAGCACCGGCUAACUACGUG
Molecule: ribosomal RNA, 486 nt
Filed under: uncultured bacterium
Lineage: Bacteria
Description: partial 16S ribosomal RNA
Rfam family: Bacterial small subunit ribosomal RNA
Source: RNAcentral